This 253-nucleotide ribosomal RNA is filed under the name uncultured bacterium. RNAcentral describes it as "partial 16S ribosomal RNA". It matches the Rfam family "Bacterial small subunit ribosomal RNA", at positions 524 to 776 of the family's 1533-position model. The record is from RNAcentral.
UACGAAGGGGGCGAGCGUUGUUCGGAUUUACUGGGCGUAAAGGGCGCGCAGGCGGCUUAUUUUGUCAGGCGUGAAAGCCCCGGGCUUAACCUGGGAACUGCGUUUGAUACGGAUGGGCUAGAGUUCGGGAGAGGAGAGUGGAAUUCCCAGUGUAGAGGUGAGAUUCGUAGAUAUUGGGAAGAACACCGGUGGCGAAGGCGGCUCUCUGGACCGAGACUGACGCUGAGGCGCGAAAGCGUGGGGAGCAAACAGG